CGCCAGACUCCUACGGGAGGCAGCAGUGGGGGAUAUUGCACAAUGGGGGGAACCCUGAUGCAGCGACGCCGCGUGGGUGAAGAAGUAUUUCGGUAUGUAAAGCUCUAUCAGCAGGGAAGAAGAUGACGGUACCUGACUAAGAAGCCCUGGCUAACUACGUGCCAGCAGCCGCGGUAAUACGUAGGGGGCAAGCGUUAUCCGGAUUUACUGGGUGUAAAGGGGGCGUAGACGGCGAUGCAAGCCAGAUGUGAAAGCCCGGGGCUCAACCCCGGGACUGCAUUUGGAACUGUGUGGCUGGAGUGUCGGAGAGGCAGGCGGAAUUCCUAGUGUAGCGGUGAAAUGCGUAGAUAUUAGGAGGAACACCAGUGGCGAAGGCGGCCUGCUGGACGAUGACUGACGUUGAGGCUCGAAAGCGUGGGGAGCAAACAGGAUUAGAUACCCGGGUA
This 446-nucleotide ribosomal RNA is filed under the name uncultured bacterium. RNAcentral's name for it is "bacterial SSU rRNA". It matches the Rfam family "Bacterial small subunit ribosomal RNA", at positions 329 to 792 of the family's 1533-position model. The record is from RNAcentral.